UGGUGAUAGAGGCAUGGAAACAGCUGAAGUUAAUAAGGCCGUAAGAAGCGAGGAAGAAGUUGGAGAUCAGAGGAGCGAUUGUGUUCAAAUUACCUGAAAAUAUCAACAUCACAUGUUAAAACAUCCCCAGAGAGGAACAGUUAUUGAUCUGGGGGAAAUCCACUGCUCACCGAUGAGGAUGAAACACAUGGCAAUGAUAAACGUGAGAACGUAAGCACGAAGAGGCUCCUUGUUUUUCCCAUAACCUUUUCCGAAGAAGCCAAUGUAUGGGUAAAUCUUGUCCUUACACAAUAACUGGAAAAAGACACGGAGAAAUGUAAGAACUGAAUGCAUGCUAAACCAACAACUGAGUAGUCAAAUAAUGUCUACCUGGAAAACUUUGGGGGCGGACACCAGGAAGCCCAGCGCUGAUGACAAGGUUGCAGCAAAGGUCCCAAUAGUGAUCAGAAUGCCCCAUCCUGACACAACGGUAAAAGGAGAAAAGGAUGCCACUGACCAGAGUAGACUUUCCCAUUGGUGGAGAUUGCAGACACUGAUGUCGCCGUGAUCGUCGUGAUGG
This 559-nucleotide long non-coding RNA is filed under the name Danio rerio (zebrafish). RNAcentral describes it as "si:dkey-114c3.4 (ENSDARG00000097682.2)". The record is from RNAcentral. Lineage: Eukaryota; Metazoa; Chordata; Actinopteri; Cypriniformes; Danionidae.